Molecule: long non-coding RNA, 395 nt
Filed under: Helianthus annuus (common sunflower)
Lineage: Eukaryota; Viridiplantae; Streptophyta; Magnoliopsida; Asterales; Asteraceae
Description: sRNA HanXRQr2_Chr12g0541181
Source: RNAcentral
AUGUUAAAAACGGAAUGUAGAGAAAGACACGAACUUAAAGUAUGUGAUUUGAAUUGUAGGGAUCAAGGAAGAAAGCUCGAGUCGUUCCGGGUCGCAAACAAACAACGACAAAGGUAAAGCGACUUAUUAAAUGGCGUUACUUGGAUCGAACACAUUCAUGAUGCACGCUUCCGUGAAGAAACUAGUUUUAGUCAAAACUUUUGUUAAAUGCUUUUCUUUUGUUCCAAACGGGUCUUUUGUAAGUUUUAUGAUCCGAAAGUAGUAGAUGUUGAACUUGUAGUUAAAAGACUAUGUUAGUAGUUUAUGUAAUGUUUGGGUUAAAAACUUUUGUAGUCGUUAUGUUGUUCGUUACCAAGUUAAAUGCAGAAUUUUGGUUUGUAAAUUAUUCGACCCGU